Molecule: ribosomal RNA, 406 nt
Filed under: uncultured bacterium
Lineage: Bacteria
Description: partial 16S ribosomal RNA
Rfam family: Bacterial small subunit ribosomal RNA
Source: RNAcentral
AUUGAACGCUGGCGGCAGGCCUAACACAUGCAAGUCGAACGAGUGGCGGACGGGGGAGUAAUGUCUGGGAAACUGCCCGAUGGAGGGGGAUAACUACUGGAAACGGUAGCUAAUACCGCAUACCAUCGGAUGUGCCCAGAUGGGAUUAGCUAGUAGGUGGGGGAACGGCUCACCUAGGCGACGGUCCCUAGCUGGUCUGAGAGGAUGACCAGCCACACUGUAACUGAGACACGGUCCAGUCUUCUACGGUAGGCAGCAGUGGGGAAUAUUGCACAAUGGGCGCAAGCCUGAUGCAGCUAUGCCGCGUGUAUGAAGAAGGCCUUCGGGUUGUAAAGUACUUUCAGCGAGGAGGCGUUACUCGCAGAAGAAGCACCGGCUAACUCCGUGCCAGCAGCCGCGGUAAUUC